Molecule: ribosomal RNA, 432 nt
Filed under: Mycobacterium sp. HSC970
Lineage: Bacteria; Bacillati; Actinomycetota; Actinomycetes; Mycobacteriales; Mycobacteriaceae
Description: bacterial SSU rRNA
Rfam family: Bacterial small subunit ribosomal RNA
Source: RNAcentral
CAUGCAAGUCGAACGGAAAGGCCCCUUCGGGGGUACUCGAGUGGCGAACGGGUGAGUAACACGUGGGUAAUCUGCCCUGCACUUCGGGAUAAGCCUGGGAAACUGGGUCUAAUACCGGAUAUGACCACGAGGCGCAUGCCUUGUGGUGGAAAGCUUUUGCGGUGUGGGAUGGACCCGCGGCCUAUCAGCUUGUUGGUGGGGUGACGGCCUACCAAGGCGACGACGGGUAGCCGGCCUGAGAGGGUGUCCGGCCACACUGGGACUGAGAUACGGCCCAGACUCCUACGGGAGGCAGCAGUGGGGAAUAUUGCACAAUGGGCGCAAGCCUGAUGCAGCGACGCCGCGUGGGGGAUGACGGCCUUCGGGUUGUAAACCUCUUUCAGCAGGGACGAAGCGCAAGUGACGGUACCUGCAGAAGAAGCACCGGCCAAC